GGAGAGGUGUCGGAGUCUGGUUUAUCGAGACAGUCUUGAAAACUGUUGUGCCCGCAAGGGUACCGUGGGUUCAAAUCCCACCCUCUCCG
Molecule: transfer RNA, 89 nt
Filed under: bacterium CG2_30_33_46
Lineage: Bacteria
Also listed under: 4 other names
Description: tRNA-Ser
Rfam family: tRNA
About the family: Transfer RNA (tRNA) molecules are approximately 80 nucleotides in length.
Source: RNAcentral